GUGUAGGGAGGGCGUUUUCGUGGUUGGGCACAUUUAUGUGCUUUUGCUACGGCGCUUUCUUGUGCGCGGACGUUCGAGGCCAGGAGUUCGAUGGUGCGCUUUGCCCACCACAGCACGUUGUGAGGUCACCCACAGACGCGAGUUGCCGAUUGCGCGUUCGGCUUGUCUGCAUUGUUGUGUCGCAAAAUACACGGAGACCACACACCCCUUUGCGUCUCCGGGACACUGGCAGCAAGUAUACCAUAUCGAACAGGGCGGCACCAACUGCGGUCGCGUUCUGGUAUGAUCCUCUAGCGACGAGCUGCUUUCUGGUCAUGUGCUGGUUUUUUUGCCCGGGCUCUCCUCAUGUGCCGAGGAGAGCCUACAUUCGGCGGCCUGAGCCUACGUAACUGCGUGUUGCGUGCCUCCGCCGGGCUCCAGCCAGAGUGGUGUAAAGUCCAGCCCCAUGGGUCACGUCUCGAAACACGGGCCAAGGAGUAUAGCAUGUGUGCGAGUCUAAGGGUCUCACAAAACCCGCAGGCGAUAGUGAAAGCAAGAUUGUGGCAGGUGAGCUUCGGCGACCCUGUCAGGUCUGGUGCGUAUGUGUGGGAGGGGAGCAAUCCUCUCUCUUCAUGUGCCGCCGGCUUUUGGUGAAACAAAGCCGAUCCUGCUAUCACGGCAAUGUCUUGAGGCAGGCGCAGGCUUCGGGCUCGCCUACAGUAGUGGUCGGUUUCGGCCGGCUCUGCUGCGAGCACCGUGGAGCAUGCAUGCUAUGACCCGAAAGAUA
Molecule: ribosomal RNA, 766 nt
Filed under: Nedsia pannawonica
Lineage: Eukaryota; Metazoa; Arthropoda; Malacostraca; Amphipoda; Eriopisidae
Description: Nedsia sp. 5 SJC-2021a partial large subunit ribosomal RNA
Source: RNAcentral